GACGAACGCUGGCGGCGUGCCUAAUACAUGCAAGUCGAGCGAAGUUUUUCUGGUGCUUGCACUAGAAAAACUUAGCGGCGAACGGGUGAGUAACACGUAAAGAACCUGCCUCAUAGACUGGGACAACUAUUGGAAACGAUAGCUAAUACCGGAUAACAGUAUUUCUCGCAUGAGAGAUAUUUAAAAGUUGGUUAUGCUAACACUAUGAGAUGGCUUUGCGGUGCAUUAGCUAGUUGGUGGGGUAAAGGCCCACCAAGGCGACGAUGCAUAGCCGACCUGAGAGGGUGAUCGGCCACACUGGGACUGAGACACGGGCCAGACUCCUACGGGAGGCAGCAGUAGGGAAUCUUCCGCAAUGGGCGAAAGCCUGACGGAGCAACGCCGCGUGAGUGAAGAAGGAUUUCGGUUCGUAAAGCUCUGUUGUUAGGGAAGAAUGGAUAUGUAGUAACUAUACAUGUAAGAGACGGUACCUAACCAGAAAGCCACGGCUAACUACGUG
This 499-nucleotide ribosomal RNA is filed under the name uncultured bacterium. RNAcentral describes it as "partial 16S ribosomal RNA". It matches the Rfam family "Bacterial small subunit ribosomal RNA", at positions 28 to 507 of the family's 1533-position model. The record is from RNAcentral.